This is a long non-coding RNA of Etheostoma cragini (Arkansas darter), 124 nucleotides long. RefSeq lists it as uncharacterized. The transcript has 3 exons. The record is from RefSeq and is a predicted model, not a curated record. Lineage: Eukaryota; Metazoa; Chordata; Actinopteri; Perciformes; Percidae.
CCAAGGUUCCCAAGAAAACAUGUCUAAUUAUGAAGCUAAAUUAGACUUUUUGCGUUAAUAACAAACGCCAAAGGCACCUGACCAAGGCUGGCUUUUUGACGCGAAGGGAGUGAGAAUGUGUUGG